Molecule: transfer RNA, 71 nt
Filed under: Marmota marmota marmota (Alpine marmot)
Lineage: Eukaryota; Metazoa; Chordata; Mammalia; Rodentia; Sciuridae
Also listed under: 1 other name
Rfam family: tRNA
About the family: Transfer RNA (tRNA) molecules are approximately 80 nucleotides in length.
Source: Rfam by way of RNAcentral
GGGGUUGAGGCUCAGCGGUAGAGCGCUCGCCUAGGACGUGAGAGGGCCCUGGGUUCGAAUCCUCAGCACCA